UCUGAUGUCAGCUUAGCAGAGAGGUCUGUAGUGGGACAGGCUCCCUGGAAGUAAAGGGAGAGGGUUUCUCCUCAGCCUCACCAGAGCCUUUGCCGGGCAGGGCAAUUCCUACCCAUCUCCACAUUCUCGUGAACUUUGUGUCAUCAGCCUUCUUCGACUUGACGUCGUCACGGCUCUUUCCCCCGUGGAGCUCGCCUUCAGGUCCGGAGCUGUAGCUGCAGUCACCUGGCAGUCCGCUUCCUUCUCUAGGCUUGCUGAGCCUCUCGAGCAUCCUCCUAACUGCUUUGGCCCUAACUUCCUUUAAUGAGUUGCAUUUCAUCAUCACGUGCUGUUGUCAUAGGGCUUCCUUUCCCUUGGCCUCAUUGGCCUCUGGCUCGUCUUGUGCUAGGACUCUCGGGUCCCUAAAGGGAAAGUGCCAAGCAGUUGCAACUUGUCUCUGUGUUAUGUCAUCUGUGUCUAUGUUAUGGUGUGUGUGUCCAUUGUCUUCCACGGCAUAGGCCUUUGUUACAUCUCAAUGCUUUAUCGGCUCUCUUCUGUGCCAUGUUCUACUCACAUUCCUUGCCGGAUAUCCCUUAUUCCAGCAUCUUUACAUUUUUACUCUUUGAGACAGGAAUGUCUCACAGGGACAAGAUGUUCUCAUCCAUCUUCCUUCUCACUAUCAGCUUUGGUAGUGCUUUUUUUUCUUGGACUUCUAGAGGGAGCAUCUUACACCCUCCUCACGUGACUGCAGUAGUUCUAUAGGUUCCAUCUUCUCAAAGGGUACAGGGCUCAAUAAGUAAUCUUCCAGAGAGUUUUCUUAAGUCGUGGUUUAUAUUGUAUGUUCCUAUGUUGGCUUAUAUUGUAUGUACUUACAUACAGUAUAAGUACGUACAGUAUAAGCCAGCAUAGGUACAUGCAAUGUAAGUGCAUUGCCUUAUAUUGUCUGUACUUACACUGCAUGUAAGCAUGUCGCCUUAUAUUGUGUGUACUUACACUCUGUGUACACUUGCACUGUAUGCGUCAGCUUACAUUGUGUGUAGACUGUACCACUUAUGAUCGGAGCUGCCCUGCCCUGGCACAUAGUCACAGUUAGGUAGAACAGUUAUAACAACUUUACUGUUCAUCUGUCUUUUGUGGGAUUUUGGGUAGAAAAUUCAUCAGUCCAGAGUGGGGACAAGUCCUAGCUGUCAGAUAGCCACUUGUUGACCCUUCCUGUUGUCUCACAGGUCCCCGAGGCUGCUGAUUUCCCCAGGAUCUGCCAUUUAGCUCAAGGAGCGGCAGCCAGAAGAUGUGUCAAAGCACCUUCUUCAGCAUCUCAGGGAAGGGCCACAGUGAGCGUGUUUUGCAACUCAUUGUUAAAUUGAGAAUAAAAAAUCCCCAGCUGCCUUCCA
Molecule: long non-coding RNA, 1370 nt
Organism: Melospiza melodia melodia
Lineage: Eukaryota; Metazoa; Chordata; Aves; Passeriformes; Passerellidae
Exons: 2
Source: RefSeq, a predicted model, not a curated record